GCUAGGUGUGGUGGUGCACACCUGUAGUCACAGCUCCUUGGGAGGUUGAGGCGGUAGGAUCACUUGAGCCCAGGAGUUCUGGGCUGUAGUGUGUUAAUGCCAGUUGGGUGUUUGCACUAAGUUCAGCAUCAAUGUGGUGACCUCCCAUGAACAGAAGACUUAACAGGUUACCUAGGGAAGGGUGAACUGACCCAGGUUGGAAGUGGAACAGGUCAAAACUCCAGUGCUGAUUAGUAGUGGAAUCACACCUAUGAAUAGCCACUGCUCUCUAGUCUGGGCAGCAUAAGGAGACCCUGUCUCUU
Papio anubis (olive baboon) is the source of this 302-nucleotide unclassified non-coding RNA. It matches the Rfam family "Metazoan signal recognition particle RNA". Rfam says of the family: The signal recognition particle (SRP) is a universally conserved ribonucleoprotein. It is involved in the co-translational targeting of proteins to membranes. The eukaryotic SRP consists of a 300-nucleotide 7S RNA and six proteins: SRPs 72, 68, 54, 19, 14, and 9. Lineage: Eukaryota; Metazoa; Chordata; Mammalia; Primates; Cercopithecidae. The record is from Ensembl.